UGGGGAAUAUUGGACAAUGGGCGCAAGCCUGAUCCAGCCAUGCCGCGUGUGUGAAGAAGGCCUUCGGGUUGUAAAGCACUUUUGUACGGGAAGAAAAGCUUUCGGUUAAUACCCGGAAGUCCUGACGGUACCGUAAGAAUAAGCACCGGCUAACUUCGUGCCAGCAGCCGCGGUAAUACGAAGGGUGCAAGCGUUACUCGGAAUUACUGGGCGUAAAGCGUGCGUAGGUGGUUUGUUAAGUCUGAUGUGAAAGCCCUGGGCUCAACCUGGGAAUGGCAUUGGAUACUGGCAGUCUAGAGUGCGGUAGAGGGUAGCGGAAUUCCCGGUGUAGCAGUGAAAUGCGUAGAUAUCGGGAGGAACAUCCGUGGCGAAGGCGGCUACCUGGACCAGCACUGACACUGAGGCACGAAAGCGUGGGGAGCAAACAGGAUUAGAUACCCUGGUAGUCCACGCCCUAAACGAUGCGAACUGGAUGUUGGGGACAC
This 485-nucleotide ribosomal RNA is filed under the name uncultured Pseudomonadota bacterium. Its description in RNAcentral is "bacterial SSU rRNA". It matches the Rfam family "Bacterial small subunit ribosomal RNA", at positions 355 to 832 of the family's 1533-position model. The record is from RNAcentral. Lineage: Bacteria; Pseudomonadati; Pseudomonadota.